This is a long non-coding RNA of Cavia porcellus (domestic guinea pig), 691 nucleotides long. RefSeq lists it as uncharacterized. The record is from RefSeq and is a predicted model, not a curated record. The transcript has 6 exons. Lineage: Eukaryota; Metazoa; Chordata; Mammalia; Rodentia; Caviidae.
GGGAAAUUGUUCUAAAUUGAGGAUUUUCCAUGCUGCAUUCUUAAAGAGGAUCCUAGCAUGGGGACAGGACUGGCUGGUGUCUGACCUGGAAAGAAUGGCAACAAAGCCCUGCUGAACACGGGAGUUUCUAUCCGCCACAUCUGUCUUCAUCUGUCUGUGGAAAGGGACCAGCUGGGCAGGUGGACAUCAGGUGAAACAGAAGACUUUUCUCACUGCUACUCUCUGGGAGCGAGAUGAACACUAAUGACCUACUCACUGCUGGCCUGGGGCCUGCCACAGAGCCUCAAAUCCUUCCCUGAGUGGGCAGCUAUAGCAAGGCUGUGGGAUAAUCAUCUUCACCCAGAUGUCAUUUUUAAAAGUGAACUAAGGAUGCGUGUUCUGCUGAUUCUGAGCCCUUGCUAUUUUUCUUGUGGUUCUGGUGAAGCUCACACCUGGCAAAACCUUGUGUGCAACACAUUGUCCUUCCUGAAACAUCUUGGGCAAAGUUGCUUCUUCCGGGACCCCUUCUGCAGCACCCGUCUUGCUAGAUUUCCCAGAGAAGAUGGCAGUGCACCGACGACCUUGUGGAUCCUUCCCUCUGCCAUGCAAUGGUGACGCCUCCCUCUUUAUUUUUUAGGAGACCUUUGUUGCCAUCUAAUAGUUCCCUUAUUAACCAAAUUCAUACUCAUUAAACAGACCAGGCUUGGCACUA